Molecule: ribosomal RNA, 325 nt
Filed under: uncultured eukaryote
Lineage: Eukaryota
Description: partial 18S ribosomal RNA
Rfam family: Eukaryotic small subunit ribosomal RNA
Source: RNAcentral
CCCUUAGAUGUUCUGGGCCGCACGCGCGCUACACUGAUGCAUUCAACGAGCCUAUCCUUGACCGACAGGUCCGGGUAAUCUUUGAAUCUGCAUCGUGACGGGGAUAGAUUAUUGCAAUUAUUAAUCUUCAACGAGGAAUGCCUAGUAGGCGCAAGUCAUCAGCUUGCGUCGAUUACGUCCCUGCCCUUUGUACACACCGCCCGUCGCUCCUACCUAUUGGGUGUGCUGGUGAAAUGUUCGGAUCGGCCGUUUGUCGCGGUUUCCGCGUCAUGUGGCUGAGAAGUUCAUUAAACCCUCCCACCUAGAGGAAGGAGAAGUCGUAACA